CCUACGGGUGGCAGCAGUGAGGAAUAUUGGUCAAUGGACGAGAGUCUGAACCAGCCAAGUAGCGUGCAGGCUGACUGCCCUAUGGGUUGUAAACUUCUUUUAUAUGGGAAUAAAAUGUUCCACGUGUGGGAUUUUGUAUGUACCAUAUGAAUAAGGAUCUGCUAACUCCGUUCCAGCAGCCGCGGUAAUACGGAGUAUCCGAGCUUUAUCCGGAUUUAUUUGGUUUAAAGGGAGCGUAGGUGGAUUGUUAAGUCAGUUGUGAAAGUUUUCGGCUCAACCGUAAAAUUGAAGUUGAAACUGGCAGUCUUGAGUACAGUAGAGGUGGGCGGAAGUCGUGGUGUAGAGGUGAAAUGCUUAGAGAUCACGAAGAACUCCGAUUGCGAAGGCAGUUCACUGGACUGCAACUGACACUGAGGCUCGAAAGUGUGGGUAUCAAACAGGAUUAGAUACCCGGGUAGUC
This 460-nucleotide ribosomal RNA is filed under the name uncultured bacterium. RNAcentral's name for it is "partial 16S ribosomal RNA". It matches the Rfam family "Bacterial small subunit ribosomal RNA", at positions 338 to 795 of the family's 1533-position model. The record is from RNAcentral.